AUGCAAGUCGAGCGGGCGUAGCAUACGUCAGCGGCAGACGGGUGAGUAACGCGUGGGAACGUACCUUUUGGUUCGGAACAACACAGGGAAACUUGUGCUAAUACCGGAUAAGCCCUUACGGGGAAAGAUUUAUCGCCGAAAGAUCGGCCCGCGUCUGAUUAGCUAGUUGGUGAGGUAAUGGCUCACCAAGGCGACGAUCAGUAGCUGGUCUGAGAGGAUGAUCAGCCACAUUGGGACUGAGACACGGCCCAAACUCCUACGGGAGGCAGCAGUGGGGAAUAUUGGACAAUGGGGGCAACCCUGAUCCAGCCAUGCCGCGUGAGUGAUGAAGGCCCUAGGGUUGUAAAGCUCUUUUGUGCGGGAAGAUAAUGACGGUACCGCAAGAAUAAGCCCCGGCUAACUUCGUGCCAGCAGCCGCGGUAAUACGAAGGGGGCUAGCGUUGCUCGGAAUCACUGGGCGUAAAGGGUGCGUAGGCGGGUCUUUAAGUCAGGGGUGAAAUCCUGGAGCUCAACUCCAGAACUGCCUUUGAUACUGAAGAUCUUGAGUUCGGGAGAGGUGAGUGGAACUGCGAGUGUAGAGGUGAAAUUCGUAGAUAUUCGCAAGAACACCAGUGGCGAAGGCGGCUCACUGGCCCGAUACUGACGCUGAGGCACGAAAGCGUGGGGAGCAAACAGGAUUAGAUACCUGGUAGUCCACGCCGUAAACGAUGAAUGCCAGCCGUUAGUGGGUUUACUCACUAGUGGCGCAGCUAACGCUUUAAGCAUUCCGCCUGGGGAGUACGGUCGCAAGAUUAAAACUCAAAGGAAUUGACGGGGGCCCGCACAAGCGGUGGAGCAUGUGGUUUAAUUCGACGCAACGCGCAGAACCUUACCAGCCCUUGACAUGUCCAGGACCGGUCGCAGAGAUGUGACCCUCUCUUCGGAGCCUGGAGCACAGGUGCUGCAUGGCUGUCGUCAGCUCGUGUCGUGAGAUGUUGGGUUAAGUCCCGCAACGAGCGCAACCCCCGUCCUUAGUUGCUACCAUUUAGUUGAGCACUCUAAGGAGACUGCCGGUGAUAAGCCGCGAGGAAGGUGGGGAUGACGUCAAGUCCUCAUGGCCCUUACGGGCUGGGCUACACACGUGCUACAAUGGCGGUGACAAUGGGAUGCUAAGGGGCGACCCUUCGCAAAUCUCAAAAAGCCGUCUCAGUUCGGAUUGGGCUCUGCAACUCGAGCCCAUGAAGUUGGAAUCGCUAGUAAUCGUGGAUCAGCACGCCACGGUGAAUACGUUCCCGGGCCUUGUACACACCGCCCGUCACACCAUGGGAGUUGGUUUUACCUGAAGACGGUGCGCUAACCCGCAAGGGAGGCAGCCGGCCA
This 1359-nucleotide ribosomal RNA is filed under the name Bradyrhizobium sp. SUTN1-6. RNAcentral's name for it is "Bradyrhizobium sp. SUTN1_6 16S ribosomal RNA". It matches the Rfam family "Bacterial small subunit ribosomal RNA". Lineage: Bacteria; Pseudomonadati; Pseudomonadota; Alphaproteobacteria; Hyphomicrobiales; Nitrobacteraceae. The record is from RNAcentral.